This 377-nucleotide ribosomal RNA is filed under the name uncultured bacterium. RNAcentral describes it as "bacterial SSU rRNA". It matches the Rfam family "Bacterial small subunit ribosomal RNA", at positions 521 to 896 of the family's 1533-position model. The record is from RNAcentral.
UAAGACGAACCGUACGAACGUUAUUCGGAAUUACUGGGCUUAAAGGGUGCGUAGGCUGUGCAGAAAGUUGGGUGUGAAAUCCCUUAGCUUAACUGAGGAACUGCGCCCAAAACUACUGUGCUAGAGGGAGACAGGGGUAAGCGGAACUUACGGUGGAGCGGUGAAAUGUGUUGAUAUCGUAAGGAACACCGGUGGCGAAGGCGGCUUACUGGGUCUCUUCUGACGCUGAGGCACGAAAGCUAGGGGAGCAAACGGGAUUAGAUACCCCGGUAGUCCUAGCUGUAAACGAUGAGCACUUGAUCGAAGGGGUUCCCAUGCCCUUUUGGUCGUAGCGAAAGUGUUAAGUGCUCCGCCUGGGGAGUAUGGCCGCAAGGCUG